Molecule: ribosomal RNA, 302 nt
Filed under: uncultured bacterium
Lineage: Bacteria
Description: partial 16S ribosomal RNA
Rfam family: Bacterial small subunit ribosomal RNA
Source: RNAcentral
GCAGUAGCCGCGGUAGUACGUAGGGUGCGAGCGUUAAUCGGAAUUACUGGGCGUAAAGCGUGCGCAGGCGGUUGUGUAAGACAGGUGUGAAAUCCCCGGGCUUAACCUGGGAACUGCGCUUGUGACUGCACAGCUAGAGUAUGGCAGAGGGGGGUGGAAUUCCACGUGUAGCAGUGAAAUGCGUAGAGAUGUGGAGGAACACCGAUGGCGAAGGCAGCCCCCUGGGCCAAUACUGACGCUCAUGCACGAAAGCGUGGGGAGCAAACAGGAUUAGAUACCCCAGUAGUCCCUGUCUCUUAUAC